UGGGGAAUAUUGGACAAUGAGAGAAAUCUUGAUCCUACAAUACUGCGUGAGUGAUGAAGACUUUUAUAGUUGUAAAGCUCUUUCAUUAGGGAAGAUAAUGACGGUACCUAAAGAAGAAGUCCCGGCCAACUUCGUGCCAGCAGCCGCGGUUAUACGAAGGGGACUAGUGUUAUUCAUCAUGACUGGGCGUAAAGCGUACGUAGGCGGUUAAUUAAGUUUUAAGUAAAAGCCCAAAUUUUAAUGUUGGAAAUAUUUAAAAUACUGAUUAACUAGAGUUUUUAGAGAGAAUAGUGGAAUUUCUAGUAUAGAGGUAAAAUUCGUUAAUAUUAGAAGGAACGCCCGAGGCGAAGGCGACUAUUUGGUUGUAAACUGACGCUAAGGUACGAAAGCAUGGGGAGCA
This 400-nucleotide ribosomal RNA is filed under the name uncultured bacterium. RNAcentral's name for it is "bacterial SSU rRNA". It matches the Rfam family "Bacterial small subunit ribosomal RNA", at positions 355 to 770 of the family's 1533-position model. The record is from RNAcentral.